UUCAAUAGUAGAUGGCAGGAUCCUGAGUG
RNAcentral lists this non-coding RNA (29 nucleotides) under Mus musculus (house mouse). The record is from RNAcentral. Lineage: Eukaryota; Metazoa; Chordata; Mammalia; Rodentia; Muridae.